This 16-nucleotide small RNA is filed under the name Arabidopsis thaliana (thale cress). RNAcentral describes it as "ATSL145880". Lineage: Eukaryota; Viridiplantae; Streptophyta; Magnoliopsida; Brassicales; Brassicaceae. The record is from RNAcentral.
UUUGGACUGAAGGGAU